AUCCAUUCUUAAGAGACAACAGGAUUUCUUUUUCUUUCUUAUCUGAUAUGUCCUUGAUGUAAGGACUUUAUGUUAAAUGGAUUUUUAGAACUGGGAGAGGAACUGGGAGCUUGCUCCAUCCACUCCACGCAUCGGCCUGGUAUUGCAGUGCCUCUUUCGUAUUGUAGCCUGU
RNAcentral lists this small nuclear RNA (172 nucleotides) under Alligator mississippiensis (American alligator). Its description in RNAcentral is "U2 spliceosomal RNA". It matches the Rfam family "U2 spliceosomal RNA", at positions 38 to 192 of the family's 192-position model. From Rfam's summary of the family: U2 is a small nuclear RNA (snRNA) component of the spliceosome (involved in pre-mRNA splicing). Complementary binding between U2 snRNA (in an area lying towards the 5' end but 3' to hairpin I) and the branchpoint sequence (BPS) of the intron results the bulging out of an unpaired adenosine, on the BPS, which initiates a nucleophilic attack at the intronic 5' splice site, thus starting the first of two transesterification reactions that mediate splicing. Lineage: Eukaryota; Metazoa; Chordata; Crocodylia; Alligatoridae. The record is from Rfam by way of RNAcentral.